GACGAACGCUGGCGGCGUGCCUAACACAUGCAAGUCGAACGAAGAAUGUUUUUCGGAAUAUUCUUAGUGGCGGACGGGUGAGUAACGCGUGAACAAUCUGCCCCGUACAAAGGGAUAGCCUCGGGAAACCGGGAUUAAAACCAUAUAACGCUUAACUGCCGCAUGGUAGUGAAGUCAAAUCGAUUAAGAGGUAUGGGAUGAGUUCGCGUCUGAUUAGCUAGUUGGUGAGGUAAGGGCUCACCAAGGCGACGAUCAGUAGCCGGCCUGAGAGGGUGAACGGCCACACUGGAACUGAGACACGGUCCAGACUCCUACGGGAGGCAGCAGUGGGGAAUAUUGCACAAUGGAGGGAACUCUGAUGCAGCGACGCCGCGUGAGUGAAGAAGGUCUUCGGAUCGUAAAACUCUGUCCUUGGUGAAGAAAAGGACGGUAGCCAAGGAGGAAGCCCCGGCUAACUACGUG
Molecule: ribosomal RNA, 462 nt
Filed under: uncultured bacterium
Lineage: Bacteria
Description: bacterial SSU rRNA
Rfam family: Bacterial small subunit ribosomal RNA
Source: RNAcentral